Molecule: ribosomal RNA, 1369 nt
Filed under: uncultured bacterium
Lineage: Bacteria
Description: bacterial SSU rRNA
Rfam family: Bacterial small subunit ribosomal RNA
Source: RNAcentral
GACGAACGCUGGCGGCGUGCCUAAUACAUGCAAGUAGAACGCUGAAGAGAGGAGCUUGCUCUUCUUGGAUGAGUUGCGAACGGGUGAGUAACGCGUAGGUAACCUGCCUUGUAGCGGGGGAUAACUAUUGGAAACGAUAGCUAAUACCGCAUAGCAAUGGAUGACCCAUGUCAUUUAUUUGAAAGGGGCAAAUGCUCCACUACAAGAUGGACCUGCGUUGUAUUAGCUAGUAGGUGAGGUAACGGCUCACCUAGGCGACGAUACAUAGCCGACCUGAGAGGGUGAUCGGCCACACUGGGACUGAGACACGGCCCAGACUCCUACGGGAGGCAGCAGUAGGGAAUCUUCGGCAAUGGGGGCAACCCUGACCGAGCAACGCCGCGUGAGUGAAGAAGGUUUUCGGAUCGUAAAGCUCUGUUGUAAGUCAAGAACGAGUGUGAGAGUGGAAAGUUCACACUGUGACGGUAGCUUACCAGAAAGGGACGGCUAACUACGUGCCAGCAGCCGCGGUAAUACGUAGGUCCCGAGCGUUGUCCGGAUUUAUUGGGCGUAAAGCGAGCGCAGGCGGUUUGAUAAGUCUGAAGUUAAAGGCUGUGGCUCAACCAUAGUUCGCUUUGGAAACUGUCAAACUUGAGUGCAGAAGGGGAGAGUGGAAUUCCAUGUGUAGCGGUGAAAUGCGUAGAUAUAUGGAGGAACACCGGUGGCGAAAGCGGCUCUCUGGUCUGUAACUGACGCUGAGGCUCGAAAGCGUGGGGAGCGAACAGGAUUAGAUACCCUGGUAGUCCACGCCGUAAACGAUGAGUGCUAGGUGUUGGAUCCUUUCCGGGAUUCAGUGCCGCAGCUAACGCAUUAAGCACUCCGCCUGGGGAGUACGACCGCAAGGUUGAAACUCAAAGGAAUUGACGGGGGCCCGCACAAGCGGUGGAGCAUGUGGUUUAAUUCGAAGCAACGCGAAGAACCUUACCAGGUCUUGACAUCCCGAUGCUAUUUCUAGAGAUAGAAAGUUACUUCGGUACAUCGGUGACAGGUGGUGCAUGGUUGUCGUCAGCUCGUGUCGUGAGAUGUUGGGUUAAGUCCCGCAACGAGCGCAACCCCUAUUGUUAGUUGCCAUCAUUCAGUUGGGCACUCUAGCGAGACUGCCGGUAAUAAACCGGAGGAAGGUGGGGAUGACGUCAAAUCAUCAUGCCCCUUAUGACCUGGGCUACACACGUGCUACAAUGGUUGGUACAACGAGUUGCGAGUCGGUGACGGCAAGCUAAUCUCUUAAAGCCAAUCUCAGUUCGGAUUGUAGGCUGCAACUCGCCUACAUGAAGUCGGAAUCGCUAGUAAUCGCGGAUCAGCACGCCGCGGUGAAUACGUUCCCGGGCCU